UGUGGUUACAUAUCAUAUGGCCAAAAAUUGGCUUAAACUUAAAGGAGAAGAGGUAGAUGAUGUUUUGUUUGUCAGUUAUAAAAAUUUUAAUAGUAACAUUAUUAAAGAAAAAAAGAAAAUAAACAUAAUGAACAAUGGUUUAGAUACAUGUGCAAAAAUGAAUGCGAUAGUAAGAGAAGUGAAAAAAGGAAGAUGUGAGCUAAUUGGGUUAAAUAAGGUAACAGGAAAAACUAAAGGAAGUAAAAAUGCGUAUUACCAUUUUGACUUCUUUAAUUAUGAUAAAGAAUGUUAUUGUUUAUGCUGUUAUAAAAAAGAAAAUAACAAAAACGUAAAAAAAAUAAAAAAAGUAAAAAAAGAUAUAAGUAAAUCACGUAUAGAGUAUAAUUAUAGUAAUGUAGACAGUGUUGACAAUUUUGUUUUACAUAAUAAUCAACUUAUUGAAAAAAUUUCGGAGGUGAUUUAUAAAGAUGAUAAAAAUUCAACUAGUGAUAAUAGAAACAUACAAUGUCCUUAUGUUAAUAACAUUUUUAUAUUAAAAUUGCAAACCAAAAAAAAUAGAAAAAUUGACAAAAGUAGUAAUAAUAAUAAUAUAUGCUUAUCUAACACAAGAUCAGUAUUAAAAAAUAGGUUAUUAUAUUGUCAAAAAUGGAAAUAUAAAAAUAGAUAUACAAUUAAAAGUAAAAUCAAACAAAAAAUGGAAAAAAAAAAAAAUUAUGAACGAUUGUACGUAUCUAAAAAAAUACAUCCAUAUAUACACCAUAACAGCAAAUAUAGCUGUUGUUUAAAUUUUUCAGAAACGUAUAAUAACGGAUCUUAUUUAUGUUGUUCUUUAAAAAUGUUACAUACAAUGGAUGAAUCUACUAUAAUUAAAAUUGUUUUGGAAAAUAAGGGUAUAAAUUUUGUGUAUUUUGUUAUGAACUAUUUUAUUCAGAAAAGUUUAAAAAAUGGAAAUAAUAUACACAAAAAGAUACGUACAAAAAGUAGUGUUAAGUUUAGCAACCUAAGUCAUAGUAACAAAAUAAGAAAUGAAUCGAAUAGUAACUACAUGUUGAAUGUUGAGACUGACAAAAAUGGAAAUAGUUAUGACGUUGUGGUUAUAAAUGAAAGGGAUAAAACAAAUAAGGAGAGGUUAUAUAAAAUGGGUAGUAGCAGUGGUAGUAGUAACGACAGUAACAAAGACAAUAACAACAACGGUAGUACCAGUAUAAACGACAAUAACAAUGACAGUAACGACAAUAACAAUGACAGUAACGACAGUAACAACGACAGUAGUACCAGUAUAAACGACCACAAAAGAAAUAACUUAUGUACACACUCAAAUACAACACGAAUUCCAUUUUAUCGACAUAUCUAUUUAGAAAAUUGUAAUAGUAAAAAACAAACAAUAAAAAUAAAAAAUUUGUUUUACGAAUUAAUAAAAAUUAUUAAUAUAAAUUCAUACAAUUUUCAUUUUUUUUUUAUAUCUAUUAGAAUAUUAUAUAGAUAAUAAUAAUUUUUCAGGAGUGUUUAUAAUUUUAUUAACACUCAAAUAUUUUAGUAUUGAUUUUUUUAGUACAUUACAUAAAUCGAUAGAGUAUAAUUUUUAUGAUGUCAUUAAAAUUAAAACUCAAGAAACAAAACAGACAAAUGAACGCAAAAACCAGAAGUUAAUUUUAUCUGAGCAUACUAACGAAUUUGAAAAAAGAAAUGAUCAACUAAAUGUAACUAAAGCAAAUAAUAAUGGUUAUAAUAAUGGUUAUAAUAAUGAUUAUAAUGAUG
Molecule: long non-coding RNA, 1758 nt
Organism: Piliocolobus tephrosceles (Ugandan red Colobus)
Lineage: Eukaryota; Metazoa; Chordata; Mammalia; Primates; Cercopithecidae
Source: Ensembl